ACGUACACUCCUGCGGGAGGCAGCAGUGGGGAAUAUUGCACAAUGGGCGCAAGCCUGAUGCAGCCAUGCCGCGUGUAUGAAGAAGGCCUUCGGGUUGUAAAGUACUUUCAGCGGGGAGGAAGGCGAUAAGGUUAAUAACCUUGUCGAUUGACGUUACCCGCAGAAGAAGCACCGGCUAACUCCGUGCCAGCAGCCGCGGUAAUACGGAGGGUGCAAGCGUUAAUCGGAAUUACUGGGCGUAAAGCGCACGCAGGCGGUCUGUCAAGUCGGAUGUGAAAUCCCCGGGCUCAACCUGGGAACUGCAUUCGAAACUGGCAGGCUAGAGUCUUGUAGAGGGGGGUAGAAUUCCAGGUGUAGCGGUGAAAUGCGUAGAGAUCUGGAGGAAUACCGGUGGCGAAGGCGGCCCCCUGGACAAAGACUGACGCUCAGGUGCGAAAGCGUGGGGAGCAAACAGGAUUAGAUACCCGUGUAGUCCC
This 476-nucleotide ribosomal RNA is filed under the name uncultured organism. RNAcentral describes it as "partial 16S ribosomal RNA". It matches the Rfam family "Bacterial small subunit ribosomal RNA", at positions 329 to 797 of the family's 1533-position model. The record is from RNAcentral.